This is a long non-coding RNA of Pipra filicauda (Wire-tailed manakin), 2672 nucleotides long. RefSeq lists it as uncharacterized. The transcript has 3 exons. The record is from RefSeq and is a predicted model, not a curated record. Lineage: Eukaryota; Metazoa; Chordata; Aves; Passeriformes; Pipridae.
AAAGCAUUGCACCAUUUUGAGAGUGAAGGCAGUACUUUGCCUCUCGCUCCUGUACUCAGUUACUGUUUCUCACAGAAGGCAACCUGCAGUGGGGGUGAGCAGAGUAUGUGCCAGCUGUGCAGCAGCAGCACAGCUACUUUGUUGCCUGUAGCAUUUUUAUUUCUGUUGAUGUGAGAGCUGGAAGGGAUCGGGUGUGAUUUUCAGGUGCUGGGCUAUGUUUGCAGGUCUGCCUGUUACAAGGGCUGCGUUCAUCUGCCCAGACACAAUGGGCAGAGGAAAUGUAAGACAAAUCUAUAAGGCUUUUCCCUCAGCUAUCCCACACAAAGAUGUGGUGGUUGCAAUUUAUUAACUGGACAUUGCUUAAAGUGCAUUCUAUUGAAUUGUAUCCUGAAAAACAAAUUCCAGGUUUGGAGCUGCUGGAGCUUUGUGACUGGUCUGGCCAGAGCUAUGCAAGUGCAAGGGACUAGUUUGAGAGUCAUCACGGAUUCUCCUAAGGCAAACCUGUCUGUUGGUGUAAUGUCAGUGCAACCAGAUGAAUCACAGCCCAAGUUUUUAUGCUGAGAACUACUAGCUCAGCUUUUUUUCCCCAUCAGCUCAUAAUUUUACAAGAUGAAAUCCCACCGUGUUAAUAUAUAGUAUAGAAUCAAUCAGUUGGUUGUUAAGACUCAUUUGGAGUUGGUGAUUUGGACAAUUGGUUUUGGGUGAGCUGCCAGUGUAUGUUUGCUGUGUUGCCAUUCAAUGUCAACCCUCCCAUUGCAUUCUGUAAGAGCUUCCAUUAAUUUCAGUAGAAAUCUGCAUUUGGGGUGAAGGGUGACCUAAUCUUUAGAAUGGAUCUUAAUCCACUUAGCCUUUCUUGCAAAGCUCAGCGUUUUUUCCUUGUCAGGAGCAGACUGCAUUCCUAACCUUGAUGUGUCACUUUCCAGUUGGCUUAAUAUUUGGGUGAGGAUAAAAAGGAAAUGUUGUUCAAAGAUUAAAAGAACCCAUGCUGCUAAGGUAUGUGCACGUGUGAUAUGCAAGUAUAAAAAAAAAGAAGAUAUGAGCAUAAUUGUGUUUGGGUGGUGGAAACAAGGUAUAAUAACAUCAGCAGAUGACUAUGGAAAACAAGUACAGGAAGAGGUAAAUCCAUUUGAAACAGUGUAAAUGGGAAAUUAUGAGGGAAGAGGAAAUGGGGCUGAAAUGUUGUUUAAUGUAAAUUUAAGUGCAAGACAAAAAUAGGACUCUUGUAAGUUUGACCUGUAAACGUCUCUUCCCAGGGGCCUGAGGGCAGCCAGGAAAAAUACAGUCUCUGAUACAAAUACAAGACCUAGUGCCCAUGCCUUGUGUUUGUUCUCACACAGUAUGGAUGAGGAGUUCGUUCCCUGUUUCACAGGUGGACUUGUUUAGCACGUGUAUAGGCAUACACCUGCUCAACAAGCAGGGAACAAAGUACUUUGCAGGUGGACUGAUUAGAGAGAUACAUGCUGCCUCACUGGGAAUAGUACCCUCUCAGGAGACAGAUGUUCCUACCUUUCUGUUGCACUAGUCUGAUUUGGAGAUCUGUGUAUGAGACAGGUAAGUAAACGGAUAUCUUUCAGAAAUGAGAGUAUAGUAAAAAGUAUCCUUUUUUAGAGAUGCUAUGUAUAAGGGUAUUGCCAAAUGCCUGCUGUUGAGCCACUGGUACUGAAGGCCUUGUCAAGAAGUCACAUGUGAUGGUAGCAGUUCCUCCAGUGGUUACUGCUGUUUCCUUCAUUUAGAGAGUCCUUUCUGCACCCCAGGAUAAAUCCCCAAGGACUGGUUAGCAAUAGCAUAGUUGUUACCUAACAAUAACUUUGGGGAAUCUGAAUUAUCCCUGCAGAUUGGAUUCCAUCCAGAAGCUUAGAUCUGGUUGCCCUUGGGGUAUCCUGAUGUGCCUUCAUGGUGGGUUUCCACUGAGAGCCAUCACAGGCAAUGGAUGUGCAGAUCUAUCAUAGGUGUGCUGGAACUAAAGCAGAUGGAUAUCCCUGGGAAAGUCAAUGGACUGUGCAGGGUAAUCAAGAACCUCAUCUGAGCAGAACUGAAGAAUACUGAGAUUAAUGUUAAGAAACCUGAAGGGCAAGAAUCAGAACAACGCCUUCACCUCCUUUUUAAAAAAUUUGAAGAAAGCUUUCAAGCUACAAUGUAUUUUGGACUUCUUUUUCCAAUGAAAAUGAGGCUUAUGUGAUCAGUCUGUCUGUCUGCUCCUAUUCAGCUGUCAGGCUAGCCCCCUCCUUUUUCCUUCUCAACAUUUAGGGGGGAGGAAAGAAUCUCAAGUUUCAUGAGAACUGGAAGAGAGAAAUAAUCAUUGCCAGCCUCAGGGGAAGGCAGGAGGGGAGCUCAGGCAUGGUAUGAUCCCUUUGGCAGAAGGCUGCCCUUCGACGUGCAUGUGUACACAGCCGUGGAUAACCACACACUGUGCUGCCUGUGUCCCCUUGGAGGGGACUGUCACAGGAAGGUAGGGCUGCUGAGAGAACAGGGCAGAUUAGAGGGACAAAACCCACAGAUCUGUGGGAAACUAAGCAUCAUUGGUGCUACUGCUCAUGGAACAAUUUGGUUAUCUUAAAUAUAGGCAGAAACUGUUCUAAAAGUCUUUGCAGGGAGCCAAGGAAACAGUCACAUAAUAACAGGAAAAAAAAUCAAAACAUUAGAGCUAUUAGGUGACAAAUUUAUUUCUGUGC